Molecule: long non-coding RNA, 3859 nt
Filed under: Triticum aestivum (bread wheat)
Lineage: Eukaryota; Viridiplantae; Streptophyta; Magnoliopsida; Poales; Poaceae
Description: long non-coding RNA (TAES_LNC008509)
Source: RNAcentral
UUGAUGAACUAACAAUAAACCAACUUUUAUGAACAAAAUCAAGAGUACAGCUUGAACCAUGUGAUAAACUAACAAUAAAUCAAGAUCAUCUCUCAAUGGCAAUAUGCAUGUGUUGUGAAGAUGGAGGCACAUACAUGUGUGAUGCCCAAACAAAGAGUUUGAUAUUGCCGUCAUGCCACGAUGACCAAACAAAUGCAGUUCUUCUCUGGUGCAAGCAUGACCAAACAAAUGCAGCAACACUCAUUCAUUUCUCUCUUUAUAUGAAUAACCGACUCAGCAUUCUGGCACAGUGGUAUUCAGCCAGUAAAAUCAGGAUUAUUUGUUCUCCUAGUUAUUCUGUUGUCAAAUAAAUUUCUUCUCAUGAUCGGUGCACACAAGAGGCCAUAGCUCUGGGUACCUGUGAAGCAAAUAAUAAAAUCAGUAAAACUGGCUCAUAUUACUAUGUCAUGUAUAAAGAUUAAAACUAUAAAUUUUCAGCUAGUUCCAAACAUAAAAUCUGGCAUCAUAGUUACUGAGCUUAUCUGCGUGCAUCAAACAACGCAGAUGGUAGGGGCAGCGUUGCAUCUAUCAAUAAGAGAACAGUCACAGAGCUAAUGCUAAACCUCCCAGAUGAAUCGGUAUAGGAAAUAUCAGACAUAUCCAGACAGAGCAACAUGAGGCACUAAAGUUGAAGAAGAGUUUGUAGAUUUGCACUGAUGCAUAUACAGUUUACAUAGACCUUCGUUUCCAUCAGAUGAGAAUAGCUUGGUAAAUGAACUUGCUUCACAGCUAAACAGUUUGCCGACAAAAAUAAAACUCAGGUCUCUUGGACCAUUUGCUAAUCACAUGAUCGGUAAAUGGGAAAACUCAUUCCAAACAAACUAUGCUUAAACUAAUUAAUGAUUAAUCAGUACAAAACAGAAAGAGGAUUGCCAUCAUGUAUGUGAUAGAUGUUUGCACAUAUAUCAUUAUUUCCUCACAAAGCAAGUAGUACGGCUGCAUUGGCUUUAGAUGCACCCAAUUUAGUAAUCCUUUUAUCUUUAGUUGUACGAAAUUUAGAAAUCUAUCAUGUAACUUAUUGGAACAACUCGGCAAGUGAAAACAUCCUUUAUCUUUAGCUGUACCAAAUUUGGAAAUCCUAUGUUAGCCCUGAAGUUUUGUAGUCACUUCCCUCACAAUCAAUAAGGUCAUUAAGAUCUUGCAUCCAAAAUGAAAGAUAUAAAUUUGCUAUAAGAGAAGAUACAAUUUUUGUAUCAUUCAGCUCUAUAAAAACUGUACAACCAUAAAUUUGCAAACAGGAGGAGGUGAGUAGAGCCGUGAGUAUCAUUUUGGUUUACAUAGAAAAUUAGGAAUUUGCAAACAGGAAAAGGUUUAUCUAUACAUAUCAGCAUGGUUAUAUAUCAGUAUUACUAUUUGUCAAGAUCGGGAGAUUUGCUGCUGGGAUUAAGCCAGCCUAAUGUUGGCUGUUGCUAAAUCUUGCUGACAUUCAUAGAAUUUCAGUGCAAGUAGCAAGCAGCCAAGCACACACGUAACACUUUAGCAGUGCAAGUAGAAAUGUAGAGAAAAAAGAACGGAGAGGCUACCUGCAGGCUGCAGCAGUUGGAGCAUGGAGGCGGCUGUCGGAAUGCAUGAGUUUUCACAACAUCAGAGCAGGGCCGAGAAGAUCCUGGCUGAGGCGGAACGAACCCAACGGCGGAUGAAGGAUACUGAAAGUCUACAAAACAAUUGGCCAUACAAAGGUGGCCACAUGUAGUCCUUCGAGUCUUCCUUGACCUGAACAUCAGAAAUCACCAAAAUCAAAUAAACAACACAGAAAGGUUCUCUGAACCCAAAUCUUUUCUUCAUAAAUAUGGAGAAACAUUGAUGAACAGAGCAAUCUUAGGUCAUAUAAUUUUUUUAAGAUAUUAUAAGCAAGAACACGAGAUAAGAGCGCUAUAAAGUGCAGCUAGCUACCAAAUUUAGUUUAGAAUAUAUGCUAGCAAAAUAGACAUCUACCAUGAGAAGGAAAAAGACAAACCUAAGAAGAUGAUUGAUCAUUUCCAAGGAAGCAUAUAUUGACCUUAGAAUAGGGAUGAUCCUUCUUGAUUGUGAACUUAUCAGCACACCAUAUCAAUUCUUGCUACGGAAUGUAGCUCGCUAGCAGUCUACACUGCAAUAAAAGAAGAUCUAAGUAAGUGCACAUUUAUGCUCUGCGCAAUGGGUCAGCUUUUGAUCCAAUGGUCAAGGUCUUUCCAUCCCGUGAUCGAAUGGCCAGGAACGCAUCAAAAGGAUGAUCCAACAUCCAAGAGCCGCUAAGCUCUGAGAAGCCUCACAAUGUCCGAAAGACCAACAUCGCAUUUAAAAGCACAGAACCACAGUUUGUUAGUAUUCAUUGCCACAACAAUAUGAGCAUGGGCUUUUUAUUUAUAUUGUUGCGUCACUCCCCAAUUAACCCCUUCUAGAUAAUAUUGAUAAUUGUAAUUUUAUUCUGUCCUGGGAAAGGGGAUAAGAAUCUAUUUUGUUAUUCUGAUCAUUAUGCGUGGGAUUAGUCGACUGUCUUUUUGACAACGCAGCCAUUGUACAUACCAUACGUGUUAUUUUGUUUGUUUGCUCAUACUUCUCCGAAACUGUCCAGUUGAAGCUUUCAAAUGUGGAAAGAGUUAACAUAAAAAAUAUUCAUUUUAUUUUAAAACUGCAGAACCACUGUACUUGACCUUAAUCAUGCCAUUUAUUUCAGCACGACUAAUCAUGUUCUAAUAUGGAACUUGCAUUUGUUGGUAGGCACUAAUAAGUACAUAUGUAUCGUUAGAAGGGUACAAUAUACCCUGGGUUCUAUCCUCAGGUCUACCUUGACUGAGGCAUCACUCUUUUCUAAUGGCUUGGGCACCCAAUAAUAAUCAACAAAUAGGUUAGUAUGCAAGAAUGGUUAAGAGCAUAAGAUUGGGUUCUUUCUACUACACCAAAGAAUAUAUAGACAACCGUAAUCGAGAAAAUAAGGAAAAAACUCCAAUGCAAAACCAUGGAAAUAAAAUCAAAACUUGCAGCAUUAACCGGUUCAACAUUUCUCUAAGUUAUUCAACUGAAAUAAAGAUAUAUGUGAUUACAUAGCUGACAUCUCUGAACCAUAAUAAGAAACUUAACGAAUAUAGCAAGAUCAGAAGAUGGAAUAUAGGUAGAGGAACUACAUUUGAAGAGAGUUCUUCCCAAAUUUUAUUGUUUCUGGGCAAUGGUAAAAAAAUAUACAUAAACAAUCUUACUACAGAAUUGGCUUCUCUGAAACACAUGGCAGAGCAAACAAAAAGAGUGAUCACCCUCUCUCCUGGUGACCAAACCAAGAACCAGAGAUAAAGUACAUAUGGGCACACGUUUCUCUCUCAGAAGGAAAGACCAUUUCUUAUUACAGAAAAGGGGAUACGUACAAUGUUAGACAUGUGUGUUGGUCAAUAAUGCCUCAAAUGGUGCACCACUGAGAUUUUCCAUUACCAGCUUCAUAUGGAGCGGUGAUACGGUGCUCUCUGCUUGUGCCUGGCUUGGCAGCUUCCUCUAGACCAGCAAGACAAUAAAUAGAUUAAGAGAGUACCUCAUCAAACUCAAGAUUAAUUUAUAGUACCUAAACAGAUCCAUAAAAUCAUUUUAUUAUUUCUAGAAAAUAUAGAAUUAUCCAACAUGUAACGGGUGAACCACCAUCACAACACCAGCAUCUAGAAUAAGUUGAUAUGCAGAAGCAUGGCCACUAAGAAUAAUGCAUAACAAUGAUUUUUUCCCUAGAUAUAAGGGAGGCCUAAAACAAAAUCAUUUACUUCCAUAGCACAUCAUACAAUGCCCCAUUAAAAGAGUUCUUCAAAAUACCUUGCAAGCGCCAGAUCGAACAGGGAACGACGGAGGAGGCCACCCGCGGUUG